AAUAGAUACCCGGGUAGUCCACGCCGUAAACGAUGGAUGCUAGCUAUUGGGGGGAAUCGACCCCCUCCGAAGCGAAGCUAACGCGUUAAGCAUCCCGCCUGAGUAGUACGAGCGCAAGCUUAAAACUCAAAGGAAUUGACGGGGACCCGCACAAGCGGUGGAGCGUGUGGUUUAAUUCGAUGGUAAACGAAGAACCUUACCAAGGUUUGACAUCCCGGUAGCCGUUCUCCGAAAGGAGAAUUUCAUUUAGUUGGACCGGUGACAGGUGAUGCAUGGCCGUCGUCAGCUCGUGUCGUGAGAUGUUGGGUUAAGUCCCGCAACGAGCGCAACCCUUAUGAUUUAGUUGGAUUUUUCUAAACAGACUGCCCUGGUAACAGGGAGGAAGGAGGGGAUGAUGUCAGGUCAGUAUUUCCCUUACACCUUGGGCGACACACGCGCUACAAUGGCCGGUACAAUGGGCAGCUAAGCCGCGAGGUGGAGCAAAUUCCAUCAAAGCCCGGUCCCAGUUCGGAUUGCAGGCUGAAACCCGCCUGCAUGAAGCCGGAUCGCUAGUAACC
RNAcentral lists this ribosomal RNA (557 nucleotides) under uncultured bacterium. RNAcentral describes it as "bacterial SSU rRNA". It matches the Rfam family "Bacterial small subunit ribosomal RNA", at positions 777 to 1343 of the family's 1533-position model. The record is from RNAcentral.